Molecule: long non-coding RNA, 243 nt
Filed under: Elaeis guineensis (African oil palm)
Lineage: Eukaryota; Viridiplantae; Streptophyta; Magnoliopsida; Arecales; Arecaceae
Description: long non-coding RNA (EGUI_LNC029699)
Source: RNAcentral
GGGAAGGAGGGAAAGGAUGAGGUGAACGAAAAGGAGGAAAUAAAGGAGGUGAAAGAGAGGGUGGAGCUAGAAGAAAAGGAGGAGAUGAAAGAGAAGAAGGAGGUAGAGAAAAAGGAGGAGGAGGUGAAGGAAAAGGAUGAGGAAGAGGAAAAGAGAAGAUAAUUGAGAAGGAGGAUGCAACAGAAAAGGGGGAGAAAGAAAAGGAUGAGAUGAAAAAAAAGAAGAAAAGGAGAUGGUGACUGA